GAUGAAGAACGCAGCGAAAUGCGAUAAGUAGUGUGAAUUGCAGAAUUCAGUGAAUCAUCGAAUUUUUGAACGCACAUUGCGCCCCUUGGUAUUCCAUGGGGCAUGCCUGUUCGAGCGUCAUUUGUACCUUCAAGCUUUGCUUGGUGUUGGGUGUUUGUCUCGCCUUUGCGUGUAGACUCGCCUUAAAAUAAUUGGCAGCCGGCGUAUUGAUUUCGGAGCGCAGUACAUCUCGCGCUUUGCACUCAUAACGACAGCGUCCAAAAGUACAUUUUACACUCUUGACCUCGGAUCAGGUAGGGAUACCCGCUGAACUUAAGCAUAUCAAUAAGCGGAGGA
Molecule: unclassified non-coding RNA, 336 nt
Filed under: soil metagenome
Description: partial contains 5.8S ribosomal RNA, internal transcribed spacer 2, and large subunit ribosomal RNA
Rfam family: 5.8S ribosomal RNA (bases 1-120)
Source: RNAcentral